RNAcentral lists this ribosomal RNA (253 nucleotides) under uncultured bacterium. RNAcentral's name for it is "partial 16S ribosomal RNA". It matches the Rfam family "Bacterial small subunit ribosomal RNA", at positions 524 to 776 of the family's 1533-position model. The record is from RNAcentral.
AACGUAGGUGGCAAGCGUUAUCCGGAUUUACUGGGCGUAAAGCGCGCGCAGGCGGCAGUGCAAGUAAGGUGUGAAAUCUCCCUGCUCAACGGGGAGGGUGCACUUUAGACUGCACAGCUCGAGGUCGGUAGAGGGGGGUGGAAUUGCUGGUGUAGCGGUGAAAUGCGUAGAGAUCAGCAGGAACACCCGUGGCGAAGGCGGCCCCCUGGGCCGUACCUGACGCUGAGGCGCGAAGGCUAGGGGAGCAAACAGG